UGAAGCAGAAAUGAAUGCAGGAUGCUGGUGGGCGGGACCCAACCUCUUCAACCCUCCCCCGCACCGUCUUUACUUCCGGUGGCGCAGUGGGUUAUCCAGGCUGCCAGUUGAGGCGGGUGGGACAUCCUCAAGGAAAGACCUUCAUUACUUCGUAGUUGUGGUCUUUAGUUACUGGGUAAAGAGACUGAGCCUGGAUCAGAAACAUUUCGCAGUUUACAUACAACCGUAAGGUAUUGUCAUAAUCUUGUGACUGUCUUAAGGUGGUCUCUUUUUUAAUCCCUGCUUCAAAAGGUUUUUUCCCAGGAGCUGAGCAAGUUUUACAGAAGCUGAAAUUUGCAGGUUUCUAUUAAGACAGUUUUAUCUUUAGCAAACAGAACUUUUUGUCUAUCGGUGGUGGUGGUCAUUUUUCGGGGGAGAACAGGUGUUGAGAAGAGCAAGGCGCAAACAAGCAGGCUUACCAAAGUUUAGAAGCCACGGGCUUGGUUUCAUUCUGUUGUAUCAGAUCAGAGACAGUUUCUUACUCUGUUUUCUUAAGUUCAUGUAACGUAAUAUAUCCUAAGUAAGGUGGUUAAUCAGUUAAUGUUAGAGCUUGCUGUUUCCCUCUUCUCUUUCAAAGGGAGGGUCUGCUGUCCUUCAGGAGAAUUGAGGUUGGGGGCAAACAAACACCGAGCCUUAAAACGAGCCCUCACGCAGUUAAAGGAUGUUUAGAACUCGGUGGAAGAGAUACAGUCGACAGUGAGCAUUAGAAACAAACUUAUGGAAUGCUUCACACAGUUGGGGUGCCCCCAUACUCACUGCCCUGUGUGUUUGAUUUAGACAGGCUCCCAAGAAAAUGGAAAGACAGAACAAAAGUGUGUUAUUGGCUGGUGUAAACCAGAAUUUCUAGAAGGAAGCAGUUUUCAUAGUCUGAUCAACUAGCAAAACGUUUUUGGACUUUAAAGAGUUUAAAAUGAUGCUGAUGUUAUUUCUCUUGGAUUGUCUUUGGCCCCUUAAAGAGCCCUUAGGGCCCACCUUUGUGUCAGGCCUAACAUCCUGGAUGCCAGAUAAGGAUGAUUGGAAUGUAUUAACAAAACACUGUUCUCCACCAAUCAAAAGAAUGCUAUCAGAUGGCUCUCAUAGGUGAGGUUUCCCUGUCUGUAACUGACUACUUAAUGUUUCCACCAAUGCAUUUUUAGAUAACCUUGAUUUCAAAUUUUCUUUGUUCUAUUACUAUUUUUAAAACUCCAUGAAACAGCUUCCACAUUGGAACAUUAUGCUUGGGAAGACCUGAAUAUUUAUUCCUGGGCUAUGAUCACUCAAAUUUAGCUUCAGAAUAAACUUUAACACCACCACCACCCCCUUGAGGUGAGAGCUGUAGUUUUUGUGUCAACAUUAAUAAUUUAAGUGAAUGUAGUAGGUUCCCAUCUUGGUGUAUGCAGAGCCAAAUUAAGCACAGCCAAAACAUUGAAGAGUGGAGAAAGAUUUAUUACUUUCAGCAGGCAAGGAGAACACAGGAGUGAUAUCCAAAGCCGUGGUCUCUCUGAACAACGGAUUCGAGGAGAUUUUAUUCCUGAGGAUAUACAUCUUCAUGGAGGGUGACAACAUUUCCAUAUAUUGUAAAUCAGACCUUUGCAACCAAACCACACAAGGAGAGUUGGAGAAUUUGUCUUUAUUAUGCCGGCAGGCCUACUGGCAGAUCCAGCAGAGGCGCUCAGCCCCAGUGCAUGUUUACAUUUACAGUUUGCAAGCAUCAUUUUCUACCUUUUCUGUUAUUGGUGGGUUUAGCCUGUGACAACAGACAGUGGUGAGGUGAAAGGGUUUGAAUUUUAGCCUGCAUGACUAAAACCCAAGAGUGAGCAUAUACCAAAGAAACUGUGACAUUAGAACAAUUAUUUUGUAAUUGUCUGUUUUGUUUUGUUUUUUUUUACCAAGGCGGGUAUUCAGCUGAUGUGAGAUUAUAGAAGCAAAACACAGGACAUAUUACUCAUAGCUACAAAUAAAGAAAAUUUAAAUAUUUUAAUCUUUCUCAUCAGCUGUGUAACCAUGGCUGGUCUGGAACUAUAAGUGAUUCUGGCUGGCCCCAGACUCACAGCCUCUGCCUCCUGAGUGUCCAGAUUAAGACAUGGGCCAUACACUCCCCUGAGGUCAUUUUCUUUGCUAAAGACAUGACUCAGCAGUUAAUGCUGGCUGUUCUUUGUUUUUUGAUUUUUUUUUUCUUUUUUGAAAACAGGGUUUCUUUGUGUAGCUCUGGCUGUCUUGGAACUCACUCUGUAGACCAGGCUGGCCUCGAACUCAGAGAUCUCCCUGCCUCUGCUUCUCAAGUGCUAGAAUUAAAGGUAUGCAUCACUACCCAGCUGACUCUUCUUUCAGAGGAUCCAGGUUCGUUUUCCAGAACCUGAAUGGUGGCUUCACAACCUCUAACUCUUGUUCCAGGAGUUGCAGCACCCUCUCCUGGCCUUCUUGGGCACCAGGCACACAGGAAAUACACAGACAAAACACCCGUCCACAUAAUAUCAAAUUUGAAAAGGAAGGGUAGAUUUGGUCGGGGGUUCGGAGGGGGUGGUAUGCCCAACUCAAAGUCCUGAAGCACUUGUGUAAAGUAAAAGAUUAAAAUAUUUAACUAGAA
Molecule: non-coding RNA, 2605 nt
Organism: Cricetulus griseus (Chinese hamster)
Lineage: Eukaryota; Metazoa; Chordata; Mammalia; Rodentia; Cricetidae
Source: RefSeq, a predicted model, not a curated record